RNAcentral lists this ribosomal RNA (305 nucleotides) under uncultured bacterium. RNAcentral describes it as "partial 16S ribosomal RNA". It matches the Rfam family "Bacterial small subunit ribosomal RNA", at positions 505 to 807 of the family's 1533-position model. The record is from RNAcentral.
ACAGCAGCAGCCGCGGUAAUACGAAGGGUGCAAGCGUUACUCGGAAUUACUGGGCGUAAAGCGUGCGUAGGUGGUGGUUUAAGUCCGUUGUGAAAGCCCUGGGCUCAACCUGGGGAUUGCAGUGGAUACUGGGUCACUAGAGUGUGGUAGAGGAUAGUGGAAUUUCCGGUGUAGCAGUGAAAUGCGUAGAGAUCGGAAGGAACAUCUGUGGCGAAGGCGACUAUCUGGGCCAACACUGACACUGAGGCACGAAAGCGUGGGGAGCAAACAGGAUUAGAUACCCGAGUAGUCCCUGUCUCUUAUAC